RNAcentral lists this non-coding RNA (786 nucleotides) under Drosophila busckii. The record is from RNAcentral. Lineage: Eukaryota; Metazoa; Arthropoda; Insecta; Diptera; Drosophilidae.
UUAAAGUUUUAUUUUGGCUUAAAAAUUUGUUAUUAGUUUGAUUUAUAUGUAAAUUUUUGUGAGAAUUUGUAUUAAUUUUAAAAAUUAAUAUAUUUUUAUAUAGCCGCAGUAAUUAAUUUUAUUAGUUAAAGAAAUUUAGAAAUAGUAAUAUUAAAAAGUAUAGACAAAAUUGGUGCCAGCAGUCGCGGUUACACUAAUUAUACAAAUAAAUUUUUUUAGUAAAAGUUAAAUUGUUUUGAUUUAAAUUUAAUUAAAUUUAUUAGGUGAAAUUUUAAAUUUAAAUUUUUUAUUAAUUAAAUAAUUGAAGCUUGAAAACUUUAUUUUAAAACUAGGAUUAGAUACCCUAUUAUAAAAAGUGUAAAUAUAAAUAUUUAAGUAGUAAUAGUUAUGAUCUUGAAACUUAAAAAAUUUGGCGGUAUUUUAGUCUAUCCAGAGGAACCUGUUUUGUAAUCGAUAAUCCACGAUGGACCUUACUUAAGUUUGUAAUCAGUUUAUAUACCGUCGUUAUCAGGAUAUUUUAUAAGAAAAAUAAUAUCCAAUAAUUUUUAUUAAAAUUUAUAUCAGAUCAAGGUGUAGCUUAUAUUUAAGUAAUAAUGGGUUACAAUAAAUAUAUUUAAACGAAUUAAAUUAUGAAAAAGUUUUUGAAGGUGGAUUUGGUAGUAAAAUUAUAAAGAUUAAUAAUUUGAUUUUAGCUCUAAAAUAUGUACACAUCGCCCGUCGCUCUUAUUAUUAAGGUAAGAUAAGUCGUAACAUAGUAGAUGUACUGGAAAGUGUAUCUAGAAUGAC